This 23-nucleotide non-coding RNA is filed under the name Cricetulus griseus (Chinese hamster). Lineage: Eukaryota; Metazoa; Chordata; Mammalia; Rodentia; Cricetidae. The record is from RNAcentral.
ACCAGAAUGACUCUGACUCUACG